Molecule: long non-coding RNA, 1026 nt
Organism: Hydractinia symbiolongicarpus
Lineage: Eukaryota; Metazoa; Cnidaria; Hydrozoa; Anthoathecata; Hydractiniidae
Exons: 2
Source: RefSeq, a predicted model, not a curated record
UAUGGGUGAAGCUGUAUAGGCGAAAUGAACUUGGCAUCUACAAUACUCUCAUGUAUGAACUGCGUGUAGAGGAAAUUGCAGAGUAUACGCGAUUUUUAAGAAUGCCGCCGAAUAUUUUUGAUGAGCUCCUAAAACUCAUAGAAGUUGACAUUGAAAAAAACCAACGCAUUUGCGAGACCCAAUUCCUGCUAAAAUCAAAGUAGCUGCAACUUUGAAGUUUUUCUUAUGUGGGAUAAAUAACGCCGAAUUACAGUAUUUAUUUCGCGUUCACAAAAGUACUUUGUCACAGUUCAUCGCUGAAGUUUGCGAAGCUAUUUACAUGCGAUUAAAAGAAGAAUACCUCAAGCCAAAGUUGUGGAAAACUAAAUUUUUGGAAGAGGCAUUACACCCGAAUUACCGCAUCGCUGUUAGCACUCCACUUGAUCACGCUAUUAACCUGCACCAAGAGGCCCACGAAAGUAUGGAACAGUGUUUAUCAAAAUCAAUUUCAGAUGAAAUUCCUUUUGAUUUUCUUCUAUUAUUAUUAUUUAACCAGUAAUAUUGACUUGAAACUCAAGAGCUAACACCAAUCUAAUUCCCAGGACUUUUUAAAUUUAUUACGUUAUACACCACUCCAAUUAAUAUCUAAUUGUGAACUGAUUAGUGAACUGUACCACUAUCGACACCCAAAAAUUGAUUAUUUACUUUUUACGCUAAUCUAAUGAUUGAUCUAGCCAAAAAAAAUUGUAGCCAGAUCAAAGCCACAUCUGCAUUUUUAGAAAAGUUUAGUAGGAAUACGGUCCAGCCAAUACAGGCGUUCUUUUUUGGGUGGGGGUUUUAAGGAAUGUAUUUAUUUUGUAAGAUGACCAAACAUUUUGUGAAACAAAUACUUUGGGGCCGGGUAGAAGUAGUAGGCAACCUCGUUCUCAGAACUUUUGUCUCUCGCCGACGCUGCGCUUAUUGACGAUAAUGAGAGACAUAAAACCUUGGAAACGAGAUCGUCUGAAAAGCUAAUUUAUUUUGUUCUGGAAUAUUUUUGUUUACAUA